AGGUAACUAUUCACCAGGAUACGAAAAAAAAAUGAUCCCUGUGCUUUCUGCCUGUUUUUGUGGCAGCCCAGAUUGAAUUGGAGAAUGCAUUG
RNAcentral lists this small nucleolar RNA (92 nucleotides) under Castor canadensis (American beaver). RNAcentral describes it as "Small nucleolar RNA SNORA31 (ENSCCNG00000014590.1)". It matches the Rfam family "Small nucleolar RNA SNORA31". From Rfam's summary of the family: ACA31 (SNORA31) belongs to the H/ACA class of snoRNAs which are thought to guide the sites of modification of uridines to pseudouridines. ACA31 is predicted to guide the pseudouridylation of U3713 in 28S rRNA and U218 in 18S rRNA. The record is from Rfam by way of RNAcentral. Lineage: Eukaryota; Metazoa; Chordata; Mammalia; Rodentia; Castoridae.